GAUUGCCUCAGUAACGGCGAGUGAAGCGGCAAAAGCUCAAAUUUGAAACCUCGGGAUUGUAAUUUGAAGAUUUGGCAUUGGAGAAAGCUAACCCAAGUUACUUGGAAUAGUACGUCAUAGAGGGUGACAACCCCGUCUGGCUAACCGUUCUCCAUGUAUUGCCUUAUCAAAGAGUCGAGUUGUUUGGGAAUGCAGCUCAAAGUGGGUGGUAAACUCCAUCUAAAGCUAAAUACUGGUGAGAGACCGAUAGCGAACAAGUACUGUGAAGGAAAGGUGAAAAGAACUUUGAAAAGAGAGUGAAAUAGUAUGUGAAAUUGUUGAUAGGGAAGGAAAUGAGUGGAGAGUGGUUUAGGUUUCAGCCUUCUUUCGAGGGGGUGCACUACCAACGCCGAGUCAUUGAUAGCGAGACAGGGUUAUAAACGGACGGCACUUGUGCUAUUCUCCUAACCCCUCUACUGCCACCAACGACAUA
RNAcentral lists this ribosomal RNA (472 nucleotides) under ascomycota sp. pb235. Its description in RNAcentral is "eukaryotic LSU rRNA". It matches the Rfam family "Eukaryotic large subunit ribosomal RNA", at positions 73 to 515 of the family's 3401-position model. The record is from RNAcentral. Lineage: Eukaryota; Fungi; Ascomycota.